This 1367-nucleotide long non-coding RNA is filed under the name Canis lupus familiaris (dog). RNAcentral describes it as "lncRNA (ENSCAFG00030016440.1)". Lineage: Eukaryota; Metazoa; Chordata; Mammalia; Carnivora; Canidae. The record is from RNAcentral.
AAAUUCUAUACUGUUUAGAGCUUAAAGCUACAGAAGCAUUGUUAGGAAUUGCUUGGACACUGAAUUUUAAACUUUUUGACAUUGUUAACAAGCAUGUUCAUCUUUUCUUGUCACUAGUCCAAGAAAAUAUGCUUAAUGUACAUUACUAAAGGCUAUGUAUGUGUUAACCUGUUUUAAUGCCAAAAGUUUGCUAUAUGUCCACAGUUUCUUUAAGACCUCCUCAGAAAAGGAUUUGUUUGCCUUAAUGAAUACUGUUGGGUAGAAACACAGUAUAAUGAGUGAAAUGGGCAGAAGCAAGAACUCCCUACACCUAAGCGACUCCAAGAAGAAUGAAUGUCCACAUUUAGAUGGCACAUUAUGAGGACUUUAAUCUUUCCUUAAACACAAUAAUGUUUUCUUUUGCUUUUAUUCACAUGAUUUCUAAGUAUAUUUUUCAUGCAGGACAGUUUUUCAACCUUGAUGUACAGUGACUGUGUAAAAUUUUUCUUUCAGUGGCAACCUAUAAUCUUUAAAAUAUGGUAAGCAUCUUGUCUGUUUUGAAGGGGAUAUGACAAUAAAUCUACCAGAUGGAAAAUCCUGUCAAAAGUAGAAAAGCUUUAGUAAUUUACUCAGUGUGAUGGUUUUAUCCUUUUUUUUUUCUCUCUCUCUAUCCCUUUCCUUUUUUCUUGGCCAAAUAGGGAGAGAUGUACAGAAUCCAUCGCCACCUCCCCCACACUUCCCCAGCAUGCCAGCCCGAGUCUAGUCAUCAGGUUGUACUGGCCAUGUCUGGACGAAGCCAAGGUGUUGACAUCAUCAGUGACCUCCAAACCACCUAAUCAGAUGAACGCACCAGAUUCUUUGAUUGUAACCUGGCACCAAUGUCAUUGCCCUGUCAUCAAAGUUUCCUCGUGCCUUCUGUUACAUUACACUCUCUGGUUCUUUUCCUUACCUCUUCCCACCACUCUGAUCAGCAACAAAACCACAAGGUAAUAGCGAAUGCUCCAUGAGUGUUUAUUUUGUUUCAGGCAGACUAUAAGAUGCUGUAUACACACUGAUUCAUUCCACCUCUGUAUUAUCUCCAUGAGGCAGAUGCAGUUAUUAUUCCCACUAUAUGGACAACGAACCAGGCUUGUAAGCUGACAGAGGAAAAUGGUGUGCUCAGGAUGACAAAGCUAGUAAGAGAACUGGAUACAAACCCAGAUUUGUGGACUUCCAAAGCCAUGCUUUCUGCCAGUAGAGCACAUUGCUUCUAAUCUAUCUGUUGUUCUUCUUUUCCUGAUUCCACCCUAUAUAUGAGACUUCCCCAGGGUUCUGCUUUGGACUAGCUGCUCACCUGUCUUUAGAUGUUUACUUUCACAAGGAUAUGUUUGAUUUUCACGAGGGUGAAC